GGCGGCGGGUGAGGAGCUGAGGCCGGCGCGGGGGCGGGUGCGCGGAGGCGGCCGCGGGCGGCGGGCGAGGAGCUGAGGCCGGC
This 83-nucleotide small nucleolar RNA is filed under the name Oryza sativa (Asian cultivated rice). RNAcentral's name for it is "Z202 small nucleolar RNA". Lineage: Eukaryota; Viridiplantae; Streptophyta; Magnoliopsida; Poales; Poaceae. The record is from RNAcentral.